RNAcentral lists this small nucleolar RNA (94 nucleotides) under Helianthus annuus (common sunflower). RNAcentral describes it as "Small nucleolar RNA Z159/U59". It matches the Rfam family "Small nucleolar RNA Z159/U59". Rfam says of the family: This family consists of several snoRNA Z159 or U59 sequences which are members of the C/D class of snoRNA which contain the C (UGAUGA) and D (CUGA) box motifs. This family seems to be found exclusively in rice. C/D box small nucleolar RNAs are known to act as a methylation guides for 18S ribosomal RNA in plants. Lineage: Eukaryota; Viridiplantae; Streptophyta; Magnoliopsida; Asterales; Asteraceae. The record is from Rfam by way of RNAcentral.
UCCUCUGAUGAUGAUUGAAACGUAAACUUUCGUUCUUCCGAGGAUGAUAUCCGUCUAUGCGGAAAUGAUUAUUGGAGACUUGAACUGAAGAGGC